UUACCAGGUCUUGACAUCUUCUGCCAGGCUGAGAGAUCAGCUGUUCCCUUCGGGGACAGAAUGACAGGUACUGCAUGGUUGUCGUCAGCUCGUGUCGUGAGAUGUUGGGUUAAGUCCCGCAACGAGCGCAACCCUUAUGAUCAGUUGCCAGCAUUCAGUUGGGCACUCUGGUCAGACUGCCGGUGACAAACCGGAGGAAGGCGGGGAUGACGUCAAAUCAUCAUGUCCCUUAUGACCUGGGCUACACACGUGCUACAAUGGGUGGUACAACGAGCAGCGAGACCGCGAGGUCAAGCGAAUCUCUAAAAACCAUCCUCAGUUCGGAUUGCAGGCUGCAACUCGCCUGCAUGAAGCUGGAAUCGCUAGUAAUCGCGGAUCAGCACGCCGCGGUGAAUACGUUCCCGGGUCUUGUACACACCGCCUGAAUUC
This 429-nucleotide ribosomal RNA is filed under the name uncultured bacterium. RNAcentral describes it as "bacterial SSU rRNA". It matches the Rfam family "Bacterial small subunit ribosomal RNA", at positions 971 to 1401 of the family's 1533-position model. The record is from RNAcentral.